Molecule: ribosomal RNA, 681 nt
Filed under: uncultured bacterium
Lineage: Bacteria
Description: bacterial SSU rRNA
Rfam family: Bacterial small subunit ribosomal RNA
Source: RNAcentral
CAUGCAAGUCGAGGGGCAGCAUGGUCUUAGCUUGCUAAGGCCGAUGGCGACCGGCGCACGGGUGAGUAACACGUAUCCAACCUGCCGUCUACUCUUGGACAGCCUUCUGAAAGGAAGAUUAAUACAAGAUGGCAUCAUGAGUCCGCAUGUUCACAUGAUUAAAGGUAUUCCGGUAGACGAUGGGGAUGCGUUCCAUUAGAUAGUAGGCGGGGUAACGGCCCACCUAGUCUUCGAUGGAUAGGGGUUCUGAGAGGAAGGUCCCCCACAUUGGAACUGAGACACGGUCCAAACUCCUACGGGAGGCAGCAGUGAGGAAUAUUGGUCAAUGGGCGAGAGCCUGAACCAGCCAAGUAGCGUGAAGGAUGACUGCCCUAUGGGUUGUAAACUUCUUUUAUAAAGGAAUAAAGUCGGGUAUGCAUACCCGUUUGCAUGUACUUUAUGAAUAAGGAUCGGCUAACUCCGUGCCAGCAGCCGCGGUAAUACGGAGGAUCCGAGCGUUAUCCGGAUUUAUUGGGUUUAAAGGGAGCGUAGAUGGAUGUUUAAGUCAGUUGUGAAAGUUUGCGGCUCAACCGUAAAAUUGCAGUUGAUACUGGAUAUCUUGAGUGCAGUUGAGGCAGGCGGAAUUCGUGGUGUAGCGGUGAAAUGCUUAGAUAUCACGAAGAACUCCGAUUGCGAAGGCAG